Molecule: ribosomal RNA, 406 nt
Filed under: uncultured bacterium
Lineage: Bacteria
Description: partial 16S ribosomal RNA
Rfam family: Bacterial small subunit ribosomal RNA
Source: RNAcentral
AUUGAACGCUGGCGGCAGGCCUUACACAUGCAAGUCGAACGAGUGGCGGACGGGUGAGUAAUGUCUGGGAAACUGCCCGAUGGCGGGGGAUAACUACUGGAAACGGUAGCUAAUACCGCAUACCAUCGGAUGUGCCCAGAUGGGAUUAGCUAGUAGGUGGGGUAAAGGCUCACCAAGGCGACGAUCCCUAGCUGGUCUGAGAGGAUGACCAGCCACACUGGGACUGAGACACGGUCCAGACUCCUACGGGAGGCAGCAGUGGGGAAUAUUGGACAAUGGGCGCAAGCCUGAUGCAGCCAUCCCGCGUGUAUGAUGAAGGCCUUCGGGUUGUAAAGUACUUUCGGCGGGGAAGCGUUAUCUGCAGAAUAAGCACCGGCUAACUCCGUGCCAGCAGCCGCGGUAAUUC